This 2147-nucleotide long non-coding RNA is filed under the name Dermacentor andersoni. RNAcentral's name for it is "uncharacterized LOC126523494". The record is from RNAcentral. Lineage: Eukaryota; Metazoa; Arthropoda; Arachnida; Ixodida; Ixodidae.
UUUGCAAUAUCUGCAUCUAUGCUUAUAAGUAAUACUGGAUAUAAAAAAAGUAUAUGUUUUUCGUGCCAGUGCCAUAAUGAAGUGCAACGGUGUAUCCUUUCAGGACGUGGUAGCCCUUCUUCUUAAGGCAAAAGCAGUACCUUGCAGCUAAAUAUAAAAAUAAAAGGAACGGCUGUAUUUGGAACAAAUAAGACCUUGUUUAUUGCAGCAUCAUUGGAAGUACAAGGUAUGCAAAGGCAAUGCUCACAUGUACCAUUAUAUUUUUUUUCAUUAAUAUGUCCAGCCAUCUGCUAUAGCCAACUUUGAUGUGGCAGCAGCCACUAUCUGAGUGGUUAUUUGCUAUCCAGAUGUGGUGGUUCCGAUUUUUUUUUUCAGACUGCCAAGCAAUUAAAAAGCACAGUACAAUAUCACCGAUUUUUGCUUUAGUGAAUUUUCUGGUUAUGUGUUUGCAUCAGAUGCUAUUAAAGGUAUCUCAUUUUGAUCAGAUGUGAAUUUUACCCCAAACACGGACAUCUUGAAAGUGUGGCAUUGGAAGAAAACAAAAACAAAGCUUACUUGCUGUAGCCUUUGCAGUUUACGACCAAUUGGAUUGCACAUAACCAUGUCUUUUAGGUAAAUUCCAAUCAGGGUGAUGAAGUUGCUUGUAAUUUUUUUUAUUUUUUCCUGUGUUAUUGCUCUAGAACCUUGUGCAAUGUACCGUACAUUUCUUUGAGGUGAUAUUCAUUACUUCCUUGUGCUUUUAAAGUUGGAAAUGAAGUUCGACUGUUCCUUACUAUACUGCUCAUCACCACUUCUUUUGCCCCGAGCAUGCAGCAAUGUCAAACAUUUUCACUUCUUAGAUCUCUGAAGCCACAGGCAGAGGUUGAACGUGAAAGUGCUUGUAGUGUGAAGAAAUAUCCAAAGUAUUUUAUUGCUCCUUCAUGUAUGAGAAGGACAGUAGGGAUAUAUCCCUGCACAAGCCCUAUCCUUACGAGCUUGUCCUCAGCUGUUGUAUGUGCUCUUGCACAAUGUCUAUCCAAGGAACAUGCUUUCCUAUGUCCCUUUUUGUUUGUUUGUUUGUUUGUUUGACCACAUCCUUUUGAAGAAAGCCACCGUAGAAUCCACUAUACUAUCCAUGUUGUGCAGCUGUAUGUUGUUCAGUAGAGUGUUCCGUGUCUUGUUCUUUUGUCCUUCAACAUAAACCAUUCAACUCUCUGCCCUACAAAGCCUCAGGCAACUCCUUCAAAGUUCUUCUUUGGCUCCUCAAACAGUGUUACAGUCUCAUUAACCUUUACACCUGUGUCCACCCGCCUCAAUUAUAUUUGAUGGAAGAGGGAAUUUUGUAUAUCUGUAGUACAAAAUACAUGUCAUGUUGUCUUGUUAUGUAGAUAAAAUAACUUUUAACUCAUCAUUCGCAACUCAAGAUGCAUAGCACACGAAAUUCUAUUUUGAUCUCUCUGACAGAGCAACCCUCGUGUACUGUCUAGCUGUGAUGUGUUAAUUGGGCUUCGUGCCUGGGUUUCAAACAAGAAACUCUGGUGGAAGACGUAAGAGGUGAUUUGAAACCUGAUGGAAGUUCUUGUGUGCAGGGAGCUGGAACGUGUGGGCAGCAGACAGUGCUCGACCAGAACUGUUGAGCCAUCAUGCAAAUGCAAGCAGUUCAAACACGAACUAAUAAAGUUCAGGGAUAGCACAUCUCCAGUCUCAAUGGUGCCAUUGUCAUCACCUUUCUUCAGUAACUGGACAUUUGGCUUUUAAGGCUGUUUUCCUGACUAAGAACAUCAAAAAUGCCACGCCAGAUUCACAUAAAGACUCAAACAUGAAAACUAUUCCUCCUAUUCAUUUAUUUUCCCAACUUAUGUUGAAAUUGAGCUUGAUGAUCCAUAGAGCUUCUUCAAUAAAUAUCUCAUUGAUAUUGGUUUUUAAUUGAUUUAUUCAUUUCAUAGUUGACCUUGAUGGUCCAGUCAUCGAAUUGACUAUUUAUUGCACCCCGUAUUUUUAAAAAUCUCAGGCUUACUUAUUUUUCGUUGCCACAGUUUCUUUUUUUACAUCAGAGAAGUGUUUGAGCUAUUAAAUAACUGUAGUUGUUUAAUCUUCAGAGUGUUAGCAUAUGACAGUCAUUUAGGACAUCAAACUUGUCACAGAUUUGUUUUAUACAUCUUUUGUUA